UACGGAGGGAGCUAGCGUUGUUCGGAAUUACUGGGCGUAAAGCGCACGUAGGCGGCUUUGUAAGUUAGAGGUGAAAGCCUGGGGCUCAACCCCAGAAUUGCCUUUAAGACUGCAUCGCUUGAAUCCGGGAGAGGUGAGUGGAAUUCCGAGUGUAGAGGUGAAAUUCGUAGAUAUUGGGAAGAACACCGGUGGCGAAGGCGGCUCACUGGCUCGUAACUGACGCUCAUGCACGACAGCGUGGGGAUCAAACAGG
RNAcentral lists this ribosomal RNA (253 nucleotides) under uncultured bacterium. RNAcentral describes it as "partial 16S ribosomal RNA". It matches the Rfam family "Bacterial small subunit ribosomal RNA", at positions 524 to 776 of the family's 1533-position model. The record is from RNAcentral.